Aedes albopictus (Asian tiger mosquito) is the source of this 118-nucleotide non-coding RNA. NCBI's taxonomy places the organism in Eukaryota, Metazoa, Arthropoda, Insecta, Diptera, Culicidae. The record is from Rfam.
UGCCCAGCAACUCCUAUUCCUACCUCCAAGCGGGAGCGGCCGGAAACUAUGAGCAACCUUAGGGAAGAUCGGGUAACCGACCCCAGUGGGAACUUUGGUCGUAGGCUGACAGGGAAGG